UACGGGGGGAGCAAGCGUUGUUCGGAUUUACUGGGCGUAAAGGGCGCGUAGGCGGCGUAACAAGUCACUUGUGAAAUCUCCGGGCUUAACUCGGAGCGGCCAAGUGAUACUGUUGUGCUAGAGUGCGGAAGGGGCUACUGGAAUUCUCGGUGUAGCGGUGAAAUGCGUAGAUAUCGAGAGGAACACCUGCGGCGAAGGCGGGUUGCUGGGCUGAUACUGACGCUGAGGCGCGAAAGCCAGGGGAGCAAACGGG
RNAcentral lists this ribosomal RNA (253 nucleotides) under uncultured bacterium. RNAcentral's name for it is "partial 16S ribosomal RNA". It matches the Rfam family "Bacterial small subunit ribosomal RNA", at positions 524 to 776 of the family's 1533-position model. The record is from RNAcentral.